This 1558-nucleotide long non-coding RNA is filed under the name Monodelphis domestica (gray short-tailed opossum). RNAcentral describes it as "lncRNA (ENSMODG00000044836.1)". Lineage: Eukaryota; Metazoa; Chordata; Mammalia; Didelphimorphia; Didelphidae. The record is from RNAcentral.
UCCACCCCACGUUCCCUCUCUACUCGGGAUCCUGGAUUUUAGAAACCUUUGAGCCCAGCCCUUCUCCCCUCCCUCUUGACGGAGUAGAAAAAGGGAAGUGUGUGGCAUCCGUGUUAUAAUAACCAAUGAUAGCUCCCAACCUGGAGGAGCGAUGGUAGAAGAAACCUGCACUUCAUGGGACUUUAGAGAUCGUCUAGUCCAACCGCCUAGUUUUACAGCUGAAGAAAAUGAGCCCUGGGUAAAGGAAGUGACCAGGGAGACUGCCAUGAACAGACCUGGUUCUGAACAUGAAGGAGAAAUAAUUAGGAUAUUGGGAUAUGACUAGAUUGAUAAUUCUGGAGAAUGCUUUUAGAUUUCACUGAUGGAUUUUAUAAACUCUCUCAUACUCUCCUUCUGCACGAUAUGAAGAUGGGCAGCUCAAAGGCAGCAGCAUGCAACAUAUCCUGGCCCUCUCACUUGCCAUUGUAUGACCUUGAGCAAGUCACUUUUCUCCUCAUCUAUAAAAAAGAAGAGUUGGGAUUUGAAAGGCAGUUCUGUCAAUACUGUCAGCAGAGGUGACCGGGAAACAUGUCCAGACAGAUGGAUAACCGGGGUUCACGUAUAGGGCUGAAGAAGAGAUGAGGUUACAGUAACGACUCGGGGGCAUGCUCUGUUUGGUCUCCUUCCUUCUUUCACGAAGACAGAUAGGCUGGUCUCCAAGAACCAACGGAAGGGAGAUGUCUGAUGCUGGUGAUCUUGCCCCAGUAGAGAUGAGACAGACUGUUAUUUUGUGGAGUGUCACCUAAUUUGACAGUUGGGAUGUUCACAAGAUCUGGUGAGUGAUCUGUGGAACUCAUCACUCAAGGUUUGGAGAUUUUGUCCUUUAAUGUACACUUGUGAAUUAAUUUGUGAAUUAAUUAGCAUCAAUUUAUUAUUUAUACAAUAAUUCUAUAAAGGAACAUAAUUAAUAAUGUGAAUUAAUUGGUCUCUUUUAAAAUCUACAUAUAUGAUUCCAAGAAACUACAGAAUGGGAACUUCUGUGUAGUUGGCCCAGACGACAUUCUAAUCUCUAAUGCUUAUAUUCAUGGCCCAUGUUUCGGUACAUCUAUUGGCAAUAAGAAAUCUUUAUCAAUUAUUGUUGUCAAUUGCUCAAACUCCCUCAGAGCUACAGUGUUCUUGAAUGAUCUAUUUAAUAAGUUAGACUGCACUUCCUUAUGUAGAGAUAUUUGACCAAUUAGAAAAGGACCUGCCUACUUUUGAUAUAUAACCUGUAGUGCAAAGGUCAAGAUAUUGCCAUAUUACAUCUUACUGAUUGGAGGAUGACUCGUAGACAGAGUGGGCUUAGUGUCUGGCUAAACUUAACAUCUACCCUUUUGCCUCCAUUUUGGAUCUCCAAAAUUUCCUUGUAAUUCCAAUUUUUUCCCAUUCAAUUCUUUUUUUAUUGUAUAACUUUCUCCUCCUAUCAAAUUAUUUCAUGUUAAGCACUUGGAAAACUGUUGGUUUUGCCAUGAUGACGUUAGUAAAUGGGUAAACCUCAGACUCUGCUCUCCUUAUCUCAUUAGGGCUGUAGAUUUUGUUG